GACGAACGCUGGCGGCGUGCUUAACACAUGCCAGUCGAACGGUGAAGCGCCUUCCUUUUUGGUGGGUGUGGAUGAGUGGCGAACGGGUGAGUAACACGUGAGUAACCUGCCCCCUUCUUCUGGAUAACCGCAUGAAAGUGUGGCUAAUACGGGAUAUUCUGGGUCUGUCGCAUGAUGGGUCUGGGAAAGAUAUUGUUUCGGUGGGGGAUGGGCUCGCGGCCUAUCAGCUUGUUGGUGGGGUGAUGGCCUACCAAGGCGGUGACGGGUAGCCGGCCUGAGAGGGUUGACGGUCACACUGGGAGUGAGACACGGCCCAGACUCCUACGGGAGGCAGCAGUGGGGAAUAUUGCACAAUGGGCGCAAGCCUGAUGCAGCGACGCCGCGUGAGGGAUGGAGGCCUUCGGGUUGUGAACCUCUUUCGCCAGUGAAGCAGGCCUGCCUCGUUUGUGGGUGGGUUGACGGUAGCUGGAUAAGAAGCGCCGGCUAACUACGUG
RNAcentral lists this ribosomal RNA (494 nucleotides) under uncultured bacterium. RNAcentral describes it as "partial 16S ribosomal RNA". It matches the Rfam family "Bacterial small subunit ribosomal RNA", at positions 28 to 507 of the family's 1533-position model. The record is from RNAcentral.